This 551-nucleotide ribosomal RNA is filed under the name uncultured bacterium. Its description in RNAcentral is "bacterial SSU rRNA". It matches the Rfam family "Bacterial small subunit ribosomal RNA", at positions 355 to 896 of the family's 1533-position model. The record is from RNAcentral.
UAGGGAAUCUUCGGCAAUGGACGGAAGUCUGACCGAGCAACGCCGCGUGAGUGAAGAAGGUUUUCGGAUCGUAAAGCUCUGUUGUAAGAGAAGAACGAGUGCGAGAGUGGAAAGUUCACACUGUGACGGUAUCUUACCAGAAAGGGACGGCUAACUACGUGCCAGCAGCCGCGGUAAUACGUAGGUCCCGAGCGUUAUCCGGAUUUAUUGGGCGUAAAGCGAGCGCAGGCGGUUAGAUAAGUCUGAAGUUAAAGGCUGUGGCUUAACCAUAGUACGCUUUGGAAACUGUUUAACUUGAGUGCAAGAGGGGAGAGUGGAAUUCCAUGUGUAGCGGUGAAAUGCGUAGAUAUAUGGAGGAACACCGGUGGCGAAAGCGGCUCUCUGGCUUGUAACUGACGCUGAGGCUCGAAAGCGUGGGGAGCAAACAGGAUUAGAUACCCUGGUAGUCCACGCCGUAAACGAUGAGUGCUAGGUGUUGGGUCCUUUCCGGGACUCAGUGCCGCAGCNNNNCGCAUUAAGCACUCCGCCUGGGGAGUACGACCGCAAGGUUG